This 385-nucleotide ribosomal RNA is filed under the name uncultured bacterium. RNAcentral describes it as "bacterial SSU rRNA". It matches the Rfam family "Bacterial small subunit ribosomal RNA", at positions 28 to 414 of the family's 1533-position model. The record is from RNAcentral.
GACGAACGCUGGCGGCGUGCUUAACACAUGCAAGUCGAGCGGUAAGGCCCUUUCGGGGGUACACGAGCGGCGAACGGGUGAGUAACACGUGGGUGACCUGCCCUCAGCUCUGGGAUAAGCCUGGGAAACUGGGUCUAAUACUGGAUAUGACUCCACGGUGCAUGUCGUGGGGUGGAAAGCCUUGUGCGGCUGAGGAUGGGCCCGCGGCCUAUCAGCUUGUUGGUGGGGUGANGGGCCUACCAAGGCGACGACGGGUAGCCGGCCUGAGAGGCGACCGGCCACACUGGGACUGAGACACGGCCCAGACUCCUACGGGAGGCAGCAGUGGGGAAUCUUGCGCAAUGGGCGAAAGCCUGACGCAGCGACGCCGCGUGAGGGAUGACGG